UGUUGUUUUAAGCUACUAAGUUUGUGGUAUUUGUUACAGCAGCAUUUGGAAACUAAUACUUUGCUGUUAUGUUUAUGGAUAUACAUAGGUUGUGGGCUCUCUGAUUGUAUGGAUGAACAUUUCACUACCUCACUUUAUGAUCAUGAAAGUAAACUAGUUGGAGACAAAAUUAAAUCUCUGCAUCAAUAAUUGCAUGGGUCAGUAUGCUUCUGAUGAUGGGGAAAUUCAAAGAAAUAAAUACCAUGUAAAGAUAGAGGUUAAUUCUGUUAGUCAGCUAAUGACACUGUUAAGGAUAUCUGCUGGAGCUGUGUAUUAAGCUCAGUGUUUCAAUUAGAGGAAGAGGAGAGGAACUCAUGGGUAAAGGACGCAAGAUUCAUUGAAGGUAUGGAUGGUACUGGUCCCCUCCUGAGAUGUUCUUGACCAGCCACAGAAACAUUCACAAUAUCUUCCUGUGUGUACUUUUCUCAUGACAUAUUUUCAUUUAGAAGGCCUUAUGCACUAAAACAGGGAUUUUACUUAUUUUUUAUUUUUUUAAGGUGACCAUUUUUUUAUAUUAAAUAUAAUUUAUUGUCAAAUUGGUUUCCAUACAACACCCAGUGCUCAUCCCAACAAGGGCCCUCCAAAGUGCUAAAACAGGGACUUUAAUGUGGUCAUUUACUUUCUAUAAGUUCUAAGAUACAGUGAUUGGCUUCUUUGUGACAUAUAAACACAGCUAAGUUCUAGAAUGAUUAAGUAGCAGACUUAAAAAAAGGUCUAAUGAUUUCAUCAGUAGAAGCAGCACAUGACACCUCCAUGUCCUUUACUGGGGAUUUGAUCCAUCCAGAAGAAAGCCAUGCCCAUAUCCUUUCCCCUCAAUACUAGAUCUCAAGAAAUAGCGCUCGCUGAGCACAGGAAUUGAACACAGGAAUUGAGCACAAGCUGGAUGUGGAUAUGAAGAUCCUGGAGAAUAUAACAGACCUAGUUCUUGCUUUUGUGGACUUUGCAUUCUGGAGGAAUGUGAAGAAGGAGAUAAUCUGGACAUAUGGACAACAGAUGAGAACUGCCAAGCAAAGAGGCAGACGGUCUGGGUAGAUAGUGGAUGUACGAACUGUGUUUUUAUGGUGACAACUGAAGUUGACAGGACAAGGAAUAUAGCCUUACUUACGGAUUGCAAGUGAAACCUGCUUUUUCCAAUGAUAAUGGG
RNAcentral lists this long non-coding RNA (1183 nucleotides) under Felis catus (domestic cat). RNAcentral describes it as "lncRNA (ENSFCAG00000047224.1)". Lineage: Eukaryota; Metazoa; Chordata; Mammalia; Carnivora; Felidae. The record is from RNAcentral.